This 1394-nucleotide ribosomal RNA is filed under the name uncultured Thermoanaerobacterales bacterium. RNAcentral's name for it is "bacterial SSU rRNA". It matches the Rfam family "Bacterial small subunit ribosomal RNA". The record is from RNAcentral. Lineage: Bacteria; Bacillati; Bacillota; Clostridia; Thermoanaerobacterales.
GUUUGAUCCUGGCUCAGGACGAACGCUGGCGGCAUGCCUCAUACAUGCAAGUCGAGCGAUCUAACUUCGGUUAGGUAGCGGCGGACGGGUGAGUAACGCGUGGGCAACCUGCCCUAAAGUAGGGGAUAACAUCUCGAAAGAGAUGCUAAUACCAUAUAAGAUCCUCUCUUCGCAUGGAGAGAGGAAGAAAGGCGUAAGCCGCUUUAGGAUGGGCCCGCGUCCCAUUAGCUAGUUGGUAGGGUAACGGCCUACCAAGGCCGCGAUGGGUAGCCGGCCUGAGAGGGCGACCGGCCACACUGGGACUGAGACACGGCCCAGACUCCUACGGGAGGCAGCAGUCGGGAAUAUUGGGCAAUGGGGGAAACCCUGACCCAAGCAAUGGCCGGCGUGAGUGGAACGAAGGUUCUUCGGAUUGUAAAGCUUCUGUCCUUGGGGAAGAAGAAUGACGGUACCCAAGAAGAAAGCCACGGCUAACUACGUGCCCAGCAGCCGCGGUAAUACGUAGGUGGCAAGCGUUGUCCGGGAAUUAUUGGGCGUAAAGGGCGAGCAGGCGGCCAGUUAUGUCAGAUGUGAAAGGCUAGGGCUUAACCCUAACAUGGCAUUUGAAACUGAUUGGCUUGAGUGUAGGAGAGGGAAGCGGAAUUCCUAGUGUAGCGGUGAAAUGCGUAGAUACUAGGAGGAACACCAGUGGCGAAGGCGGCUUCCUGGCCUACAACUGACGCUGAUGCGCGAAAGCGUGGGGAGCAAACAGGAUUAGAUACCCUGGUAGUCCACGCCGUAAACGAUGGGUGCUAGGUGUGGGAGGUAUCGACCCCUUCCGUGCCAUAGUUAACGCAAUAAGCACCCCGCCUGGGGAGUACGGUCGCAAGACUGAAACUCAAAGGAAUUGACGGGGGCCCGCACAAGCAGCGGAGCGUGUGGUUUAAUUCGACGCAACGCGAAGAACCUUACCAAGGCUUGACAUCCCUCGCUAUUUGUAGAGAUACAGAGUUCCCUUCGGGGACGAGGAGACAGGUGGUGCACGGUUGUCGUCAGCUCGUGUCGUGAGAUGUUGGGGUUAAGCCCCCGCAACGAGCGCAACCUUGUACUUAGUUGCCAUUCAUUAAGUUGGGCAACUCUAAGUAGACUGCCGGUGACAAACCGGAGGAAGGUGGGGAUGACGUCAAAUCAUCAUGCCCCUUAUGUCUUGGGCUACACACGCGCUACAAUGGUCUGUACAGAGGGCAGCGACACCGCGAGGUGAAGCGAAUCCCAUAAAACAGAUCUCAGUUCGGAUUGCAGGCUGCAACUCGCCUGCAUGAAGUCGGAGUUGCUAGUAAUCGCGGAUCAGAACGCCGCGGUGAAUGCGUUCCCGGGCCUUGUACACACCGCCCGUCACACCACGAAAGUUGGUA